Molecule: long non-coding RNA, 618 nt
Organism: Oreochromis aureus
Lineage: Eukaryota; Metazoa; Chordata; Actinopteri; Cichliformes; Cichlidae
Source: Ensembl
GAGGGGCAGUAGUUACACUCACAGGAGCACAGGAACAGAGCGGGAGGGAGAGACAGAAAAAGAGAGCCAGGGACAACAACGUCACAUUAGAAAGUAACCAAGACUUCACCUGCUCCUGAAGAAGUGACCUAUGCUGAUAUCAACAUCAGACAGAAGAAGAAGAGGCGAGACAACCAUUCUCUUGGUCCAGAUACAGUCUACUCUGCUGUGAGGACACACACUGCUGGCCCUUCUGAGGUCACUUAUGGCCAAGUUCAAAUCAGAUCUCAGAGACCUGCGGGCAGAAAUACUGAGUACCCAGCUGAUCCAGAUGUCGUGUACUCAUCAGUGAGAGCAGGAAAAUGAAGAUAAACAGCUGGAGGAGCUUCACGUCUUUCCAACCUGAAUCUUUUAUUUUGAGUGAUAUGCUGUUUGCUCUGCUUUGUUUUACCACCUUGCUCGUCUCCUUUAUAGUGUAACUUCUUCCUUUCGGCACAAGUUUAGAUCUAUGAGUACUUGAACAGUGAGCCACAGAGCAUUUUAAAGAGUGCAUAUCUUGAGAAUCCACUUCUAUUUUUUUAUGAGAGUUUUAUAAACUCUGAGGUGUAAAAUUUUUAAAUCUGAAGCUCCCCUGGCAAC